This 253-nucleotide ribosomal RNA is filed under the name uncultured bacterium. RNAcentral's name for it is "partial 16S ribosomal RNA". It matches the Rfam family "Bacterial small subunit ribosomal RNA", at positions 524 to 776 of the family's 1533-position model. The record is from RNAcentral.
UACGUAGGGUGCAGGCGUUAAUCGGAAUUACUGGGCGUAAAGCGUGCGCAGGCGGUUAUGCAAGACAGAUGUGAAAUCCCCGGGCUCAACCUGGGAACUGCAUUUGUGACUGCAUGGCUAAAGUGCGGCAGAGGGGGAUGGAAUUCCGCGUGUAGCAGUGAAAUGCGUAGAUAUGCGGAGGAACACCGAUGGCGAAGGCAAUCCCCUGGGCCUGCACUGACGCUCAUGCACGAAAGCGUGGGGAGCAAACAGG